Molecule: long non-coding RNA, 437 nt
Organism: Prunus persica (peach)
Lineage: Eukaryota; Viridiplantae; Streptophyta; Magnoliopsida; Rosales; Rosaceae
Exons: 2
Source: RefSeq, a predicted model, not a curated record
UUGCGAAAUUUCCUUUUGCAGUUUUUUUUAUCUCAAUUCUGCUUGGAAUUUGUUAAUUGGUGUUUAAUAUUUAUUUAUUUUUCUUAUAAUAAAUGGGUGUUAGGAUUGGGGUCUAGUAGGAAAAUUUGACAACUUCGAGGCAGACUGCAUGUUUUGACCCAGUACCUCAACUCUUUUUUUGGUACUGAACUCUAGCCUUUUGAAGGAUUUUGGAUGGUGGGGUAAUGCUGAUUUAGAAAACUUAGCCCAUUGUGAACUAUGAAAGCAAUAGAAGAGCUCUUAGCCUAUUGUUCACGUUUUCCCCAACUCAUGCCACGGCUUGGCACCAGAAUCUAUCCAGGGACCUAACAGACGGUAUAAUCGUUACAUUGCAACAUAGCAUUCCCAUGUCCUUUAUGCUUUCAUGCCCAAUGUAUGAAAUUAUAUUCAACCAAAAG